CCCUUAGAGUUUGAUCCUGGCUCAGAAUCAACGCUGGCGGCGUGCCUAACACAUGCAAGUCGAACGCGAAAGGGAGCAAUCCUGAGUAGAGUGGCGUCCGGGUGAGUAACACGUGGAUAAUCUACCUGCGGAUGAGGAAUAACUUUCCGAAAGGGAAGCUAAUACCGCAUAACAUUAUCUGGGGGUAUCCCCGAAUGAUCAAAGUGGGGGAUCGCAAGACCUCACGUCUGCAGAGGAGUCCGCGGCCGAUUAGCUAGUUGGUGAGGUAAUGGCUCACCAAGGCAACGAUCGGUAGCCGGCCUGAGAGGGCGGUCGGCCACACUGGCACUGAAACACGGGCCAGACUCCUACGGGAGGCAGCAGUGGGGAAUUUUGGGCAAUGGGAGAAAUCCUGACCCAGCAACGCCGCGUGAAGGAUGAAAUCCUUCGGGAUGUAAACUUCGUAAAUUAGGGAAGAAUAAACGCGUUUUAAUAGAACGUGAUAUGACGGUACCUGAUGUAAGCCCCGGCUAACUCCGUGCCAGCAGCCGGGUAAUACGGGGGGGGCAAGCGUUGUUCGGAAUUACUGGGCGUAAAGGGCGCGUAGGCGGUCAGACCAAGUUGAAUGUGAAAUUCCAGAGCUUACUCUGGACGGUCGUUCGAUACUGGUCGGCUAAGUGUGGAAGAGGAUGUCGGAAUUCCCGGGUGUAGCGGUGAAAUGCGUAGAUAUCGGGAGG
Molecule: ribosomal RNA, 716 nt
Filed under: uncultured bacterium
Lineage: Bacteria
Description: bacterial SSU rRNA
Rfam family: Bacterial small subunit ribosomal RNA
Source: RNAcentral